Vigna unguiculata (cowpea) is the source of this 699-nucleotide long non-coding RNA. Lineage: Eukaryota; Viridiplantae; Streptophyta; Magnoliopsida; Fabales; Fabaceae. The record is from RefSeq and is a predicted model, not a curated record.
CGCCGCACACCCCAUCGAUCUCUCAUCUGCCCCACUACUCUUCUCUAACGUGCCACACUCGUCCCCACUCCUGUUUAUUUUUUUGGCCGCUCUCCCUCUUCCUUUCACCAUUCAUCUCCAACAGUUAUUACACAAACCCCCGAUUACGGAAGUGAACUUCCAUAAAACCAGUUUCGGAAAUGUAGAUCACCCAAAAAAAAAAUGGGCACUUACUGAAGUCGACUUCCGUAAGCCAUCAAUACCGGAAGUCCACUUCCGUAGUUAAAACUAAGUUCCGAUUUCCGUGAACAUCAGUGACUUCUGUAGAGUGUGGCGCGACUUCCGUACACGAAGACGACUUCCGCAGGCGACAGGCGACUUCCACUUCCGAGGACAUAAAUGAAAGAGCAUGAAUAUUUGGAGGUGCAGAAGAAAUAUUUGGGGUGCAGGAAGAAACCCCCGUGUCUUUCUGAAUGAGUUUUCUACAACAGCCCUAUGGGAAAUGUAUUUCGAAAAGACGUUUUGAAAUUUAUGACAUACAUUCUGAAAGAGCUUUCCGUAAUGAAUUUUUUUUCGCAUUUUCUCUCUUCUUCCGUUACAGUGUUCUCCCACUCUUCUACAUUCACUUACAUAUAUGAAGCCCAGACACACCUUAUCAAAUGGAAGUGUCGACACCUAUCGAACACGAUAUUCGCAUGACACUUCUACGACACGUAUCAA